UGCCAGCCGCCGCGGUAAUACGGAGGGUGCAAGCGUUAAUCGGAAUUACUGGGCGUAAAGCGCACGUAGGCGGUUUAUUAAGUCGGAUGUGAAAGCCCUGGGCUCAACCUGGGAACUGCACUCGAUACUGGUAAACUAGAAUUUGGGAGAGGUGAGUGGAAUUUCCGGUGUAGCGGUGAAAUGCAUAGAGAUCGGAAGGAACACCAGUGGCGAAGGCGACUCACUGGACCAAAAUUGACGCUGAGGUGCGAAAGCGUGGGUAGCAAACAGGAUUAGAUA
RNAcentral lists this ribosomal RNA (279 nucleotides) under uncultured bacterium. Its description in RNAcentral is "partial 16S ribosomal RNA". It matches the Rfam family "Bacterial small subunit ribosomal RNA", at positions 506 to 784 of the family's 1533-position model. The record is from RNAcentral.